UUGCCCAUAAUGCACAGUAAAAAAUCCUACACUGGGAUGGCAAGUUCUGCGAAAAUACCCAGGUUAGCCACUGUAAAAACCCCAAAUGAGUUUCUUGCAAAAUUAACUAGCAUGAUAACUCUCUCCAAACUAAAACUGAAACAGGACAUUCACGGAAGAGAUGGUCCAUAUUCUCUGUUCCUAUUCCACACCGGGGACAUAUUGUAGUGUUCGUUACCUCUCUUUGUAGCAUGUUAACUCGUAUAUGUAGAUAAUUCCACGAUAUUUUCCAGAUUGUAAUUUUUAUUUUUGAAGGUAGAUUCAGUAGCCAUAGUUUUUUUUUUUUUUGUAAAAUUCCUUAUAGUCGGCUUGUAAAGCGUAAGCUCUAGUGUCACGGACUUAGAGUUUUUCCACACGAUUCGUGUGGCCUUUGGCAGUUUCUUUGCUUAAAAACGCCUAAGUCAGCCUAACUCGCAAUGAUAAAGGAUUCAACAGCAAAAACGCCUAAGUUGGCCUAACUUGCAAAGAUAAAUGAUUCAACAGAAUUCCCUCAAGGCACCCACGAAGAACAGCAGAAGAACGAAGUAAGAACGAACGUUGAAAGAUGAACGAAAGCCAUAGAAAAGCAAGAACACUUGAGAGAAAAGUUUGAGUGAAUAUUCUCAAAAUUCUUACUGAUAAAUUAAUGAAUUACAAUGAGCAAAGAGGUCUUUAUUUAUAGUUUAGCUUCAAAGUACAUCAAAGGCUACAAUUAAAAGUUGUAUACAAUUAGAACUCUAAGACACAAUUAGAAGCUGCAUAUAAUUAGAACUCUAAAAUUACAUAAUCAUAUCUUCUUGGAUUACUUCCCCUUUUUAUUAGGCUCUUGGGAUGGGCUUUUAAUCUCUCCAGGCAACGGGCCAGUUUGGUUGGGCCAAAUGACCUCCUUCAAAUACAAUGGAUCGCACAAGUUUGUCAUGGUUGCGUGCUCCCAUGCGCAACCCAUGACACUAGGAUCGUCUUCAAUGCUUUGUAAUAGUUUAUGGGCACUGUGUACUGUGAAUUCAUCCGACACUUCACCACUCUAGGCUUGAAAGUCUUCGUGAGGUUCUUCUACCAACAGAAUACGGAUAAUCUUCUCGGCUACUUCCUCC
This 1112-nucleotide long non-coding RNA is filed under the name Gossypium barbadense (sea-island cotton). Its description in RNAcentral is "long non-coding RNA (GBAR_LNC018104)". Lineage: Eukaryota; Viridiplantae; Streptophyta; Magnoliopsida; Malvales; Malvaceae. The record is from RNAcentral.